AACUUGCGUUUCACAUGAUGUUAGCAGACUUUGGCAGGGUUCUCAGAGAGUUGGACUGGUCACACACACACACACACACAUUCUAAACCCUGUAAAGUAAAUCUCGCUGACCGUGCACGGCUGAGACGACCACAGAAGCCGUUGAAAAGUGGAAGCAACUCGUAAAUCAUAUGACCCUCUGAUUUAAACACUCCACGUCAUGUGACCAGCUGACAGCGGCAGCUUGAUUUCAUACAUUUCUCCAGCCUGUGCAGUUUGUUUACCUGCUGCAGCUUUCGGCAACUGAAGACGCAAGGAUGCUGAGGGAGACUACCUGUGUCCUGGUCCUGCUGGCGCUCGUGGCGCCGGUUCGGCCCAGAGGCUGCUCCAGCUUCUUCUGCCAGAAAUCUCGGCGCGUGAGCAGCGGCCACGGCGGACCCGACCCCGGGAAACCCUUGUUCCUUACGCCCUACCUGGAGGACGGGAGAAUCGACGAGGGCAGGAAGUUGAGUUUGGUGGACCCUCUGCCUGGAGACAACGUGAAGAGCUACUCCGGCUACCUGACCGUCAACAAGGCCUACAACAGCAACCUCUUCUUCUGGUUCUUCCCUGCACAGGAGAGACCUGAGGCGGCGCCCGUGUUGCUAUGGUUACAGGGCGGUCCGGGGGGCACCUCCAUGUUCGGGCUGUUUGUGGAACACGGCCCCUACCUGGUGCACCCCAACAUGACCGUGGGACUGAGGGACUACGCAUGGACCUCUCGCUACUCAGUGCUGUACAUCGAUAACCCGGUUGGCACUGGGUUCAGCUUCACAGAUGAUGACAAAGGCUUUGCCCAGAACCAGGAUGACGUUGGGAGGGACCUGUACAGUGCAUUGAUUCAGUUCUUCCAGAUCUUCACUGAGUUUCAGGCAAACGACUUCUACGCCACAGGAGAGUCCUAUGCAGGGAAGUAUGUGCCGGCCGUUGGAUACUACAUCCAUAAGAACAACCCCUCAGCCAAAGUCAAGAUCAACUUCAAAGGCGUCGCCAUCGGUGAUGGGCUGUGUGACCCAGAACUGAUGCUGGGGGGCUACGCAGACUUCCUGUACCAGACGGGGCUGGUGGACGAGCUGCAGAGGGCGUACGUGCUGCAGCAGACGGACACGGGGGUGCGCUUCAUACAGCAGCAGAAGUGGGUGGAGGCCUUCGAGGUGUUUGACAGCCUGCUGAACGGGGACAUCCUGCCCUACCCCUCCUUCUACCAGAAUGCCACAGGCUGCACCAAUUACUACAACUACAUGCAGUGCCAGGAGCCGGAGGAUCAGGAGUACUUCUCCCGCUUCGUGACGCUGCCGGCGGUGAGGAGGGGGAUCCACGUGGGCAACCUGAGCUUCCACGACGGCUCGGAGGUGGAGAAACACCUGGUGCAGGACGUCAUGAAGAGCAUCAAGCCUUGGCUGGGAGUACUGAUGGACAACUACAGGGUGUUGAUCUACAGCGGUCAGCUGGACGUGAUCGUGGCGGCGCCUCUGACGGAGCGGUUCCUGCCCACCGUCAACUGGACUGGAGCGGACGAGUACAAACGGACCCAGAGGUUCCCAUGGCGACUGCAGCCUGGCGACCCUGAAGUGGCUGGGUACGUGCGUCAGGUCGGAGAGUUCUUCCAGGUGAUUGUGCGCGGGGGCGGGCACAUACUCCCCUACGACCAACCACAGAGGUCCUUUGACAUGAUGGACAGGUUCCUCUCCACUAAGGGCUUCUCUGCUCACUGAUGGAAAGAGAAGUGAAGCUGAAUGGAGCCUUAAGUCCGUCCACACACACACACACACACACACACACACACACACACACACACACCAGAAUGGAGGUGCCUUAAGUCCGUCCCCCCCGCUGCCGUAGAGGAGGCUACACACACACACACACACACUCACACUCUCACACACCACACACACACACACACACACACACACACAGGAAGUAGCUGCCUCAGCCCUCAUGCUGCUGCUAGCUACACUGGCGCCUCUUGAUGAUGUCAUCAGUGAUGCGUUGAUGCCUCCUGAUGACCUCAUCACUCCAUGGCUUCAGCAUUGAUGCUCAGAAGGUUCCAUACAGUGUCUCUUUUUUAAAGUGAUUCAGUCGUGUGUGUGCGUGUGUGUGUGCGUGUGUGUGUGUGUGUGUGUGUGAGAGCCAAAUGUACAUGACCUGGUCUUGCUGACCUGAGAUGAUUUUGCUGUAUGAUUUCAAUAAAGACGUCACCUUGUC
Molecule: RNA transcript, 2223 nt
Organism: Clupea harengus (Atlantic herring)
Lineage: Eukaryota; Metazoa; Chordata; Actinopteri; Clupeiformes; Clupeidae
Gene: cpvl
Gene name: carboxypeptidase vitellogenic like
Exons: 14
Source: RefSeq, a predicted model, not a curated record